GGAGGGUGCAAGCGUUAAUCGGAAUUACUGGGCGUAAAGCGCACGCAGGCGGUUUGUUAAGUCAGAUGUGAAAUCCCCGGGCUCAACCUGGGAACUGCAUCUGAUACUGGCAAGCUUGAGUCUCGUAGAGGGGGGUAGAAUUCCAGGUGUAGCGGUGAAAUGCGUAGAGAUCUGGAGGAAUACCGGUGGCGAAGGCGGCCCCCUGGACGAAGACUGACGCUCAGGUGCGAAAGCGUGGGGAGCAAACAGGAUUAGAUACCCUGGUAGUCCACGCCGUAAACGAUGUCGACUUGGAGGUUGUGCCCCUUGAGGCGUGGCUUCCGGAGCUAACGCGUUAAGUCGACCGCCUGGGGAGCACGGCCGCAAGGUUA
Molecule: ribosomal RNA, 371 nt
Filed under: uncultured organism
Description: partial 16S ribosomal RNA
Rfam family: Bacterial small subunit ribosomal RNA
Source: RNAcentral